AAACAAUAACACAGACUUUGAAUGUCCUUGGUGGAGGGCCUCACUAUCCCUGGGGAGGAUUCGGGGUGUGUAGUAGGGUGGGGUGUGUUGGUUGGGGAACAUGGGAGGAUGGGAGGGUGAGAGAAUGGGGGAGAUGGAUAUGUAAACAUGAGUAAUUAAAAAUAAUUAAAAAUGAAAAAAGAAACCAGCUGAUAAGCUGAGGAGAGAAAGUAAGAAGAUAAUUGGCCAAUGCCCAAAUUCAUCCAUCCUAGACAACACGGAGAUUAUAAGUGGAAGAUGACUUUGUCAUAUACAUAUAAGUUGAAAGAAAGAAAUUGUGCUUAUUCAUCUUUUCUGGAGAUACAUUCUGAAGGAAUGUAGAAGAGUAAUCCUAACCAUAAUGUUUUGCCCAGGUAAGUAUACUACAUUUCAGUGGUCUAGUGGAUACCAUGACCAACCAGUACAUCUUUAUAUCUUACAGGCUCAGGGACUGGAACCUGUCAUAACUGUGAAACUUACACAGCACCGACUGCAAAAUGCUGUCUUUAUUAGUUGAGGUAGCGAGUGGAAGUUACUGGCAUACGGUUUGCAAUUUUGUGACCUAAUUAAAGAACUCACUUUCAGUCUUGCAGUCAACCCCAACUUAAAUUAAGCAUAGUGAGGUGAACAGAAUUCUUCUCUUGGCACAAAAUAUUAAUGUAACCUUUGAUCUCUCUGAUCUCUGGUUAUAUUAUAUCAGCGGCAACAAAAAAAAGAACAUUGUAGCUGUAAUGGUUACUUGUUGGGCCUGAGAUGCCUAGAUCAUGCUGCCCAUAUCUGGAAAUAGUUACUUCCAUGGUGGUUGGAACAGAUUUGUAAAUACAUGUUGUCAGUUAGAGAUCCUCAAAAAUAUUGGCAAGAGGGAAUACUGACAGAUCAAAACAAGGCCCGUGGGGUCUUGGGGCUUUGCAUACAGGCAUCAAUAAAAAUUUAUUUACCACCUUUAUAAAGUACUUUGGCAUGACUGGUGGCAGUAGUCAAGUAUUAAUCUAUACAAUUCAAUUAUAUAAUGAGGUAAUUUAAUAAAUUAGAAAAGUCUUAGGGAGCCCUGCUUUGAAUAAGGCACUGUAGUACUUUCCACACAGGAUUAAUGAGUUAAUUCAUGGCCUAUCCAAAAAAUAAUGUGUAUAGUUUUGCAGAAGGAACUUGAAGAGUACAAAAAUCCAGAGUGUAAGGCAGAGAACAAAACUGUAUUUUUUAUUAGUGUUGCAUAUAGAUAGGUAGUCAGUUAGUGCUUGUUUUUCAGCAGAUAAUAUAAGAAAUAGACAGUGCUAAAGAGCUUGUAGCUCCUUCUGUUUACCUGAUUCAGAAUUGCCUUAAUAGGAGGUGACAUCAAGCCCAUGCUUAAAUAGCAGACAGUAGUUUAAACAGGUAGGAGAGCAUUUUAGAAACUGAAACCAAGAAGUGGAAAAGUGUGGCAAUGUUUUUAGGUUGGAUGGAUUACUAUGGGAGCCACUGAAGAGAAGCCUAGAAAGUUCAGGGACGGUGUGGAUUUUAUUGACUAUUAAAGGCAAUAAGGAAUCAUCCAGGGUUUUAAAGGAGAGAAAUAAAGGAUUAUCAGUCUUUGCAUUAUUUCGCUAGUCCAAAUGAUUUUUCCAUUUAACAUUGACCAUAGCCUUUCCAGACCAAAUAAAAAGCUGGAGUACUUUGCAAAUGCAACACCUUUCUCCCUAAGCCAGGAGGGGCACAGUACUGAUUACCUUCCAUUUCCAACGACCUACAUGUCAUUCACUUUGCAUUUCUUUUAUUUUUUAUUAAAUUUAAGUUUUUAAAUUUUAUUUUACAAUUCAACCAAAGUUCUCCCUCCCAUCCCUCCUCCCCCCCAUUACCUCCCCCCCCCCGCUACACCCCCCCACCUACUCCUCCCAACAGGUAAGUAGUCCCAUGGGGAGUAGACAAAAUCUGGCACAUUAAGUUGGGGCAGGACUAAGCCCGUCUCCCACGCAUGAAGGCUGAGUAUGGCAACCCCUCAUAGGGAAUGGGUGUCAACAAGCUAGCUCAUUCACCAGGGAUAGCCCCUGGUCCUACUGCCAGGGUCCCUUCAGAUAAACCAAGCUUCACAAUUGUCUCCUGCCUAUGAAGGGCCUAGUUUCCUAUGGGAAGUAUUUUCCUAAUGAUGAAAAAAUAUUUUAAGCUUGAAGGAAUAUGAAGGAAGAUUGGAAGCUUAAUAACAUAUUAACAUGGGUACCCAAGUUAUUUUGUUUUUAAAAUAAUUUUAAUUACUUUUAAAUUUAAAAAUAUUUUAAAAAUCAAAUGUUUCAUUAUUUUGAUGUGGCUAAUUAUCUUGGUACAACAGACAUAUGGAACAGAAAACAAGGUACUGGGUAUGAAGUUUAAUUUUUGCUGUGUGGUUAACUUGAAUGGACAAAGCACUGAGGUUUUUUUGUUUUUUCUUUAGCAACACAGACACACACACACACACACACACACACACACACACACACACACACACACACACACACACACACCUGAUAAAGGAUGAAAGUAGAAAUAAAGUAUUAUUUCAAAGAAGAAAGGAAGGUAGAAGGGAGGGAGGUAGGAAGAGAGGGAGGGAAGAAAGGAGGAAAGCCCUGAAGGUGAAACCUACUUUUAUUUAAUCAUGUGUGCUAUAAAACUGACUAGAAAGAAGACAAGGUUAAAAGCCAUUGAAACUAAGGCUGGGGAGGGACCAGAGAGAAGAGCAUUCAAAAUGUACAGUUAAUAUGGAAACCAGUGUGUUUGCUGAAGAAACACAGCUCCAUGAUCAGUUGCUUGGGUCUUUUCUCCAUCAAAAUAACUCUUCUUAGAAUCUCUGGUAUAAAAUUUUUAGCUUUCAUUGUCUGACACACAAUACCCUCCAAUAAUCUAUUAUAUUGCACCACAAAAAGGUAUUAUUUUAGUAAGCUGAGUGGUUCAGCAGUUGAAAUUGCAUGGGAUUCAACCUCCUCCUCCUACGGUUCCAACAGAGAUGUGCAGAAGAGGCAUUCCAGAGCAGUGUAUGCUCCUGCUUCUCUAACUUCUGCCAGGUCUGACACCCUGACAAACUGGGUGGAUUAGUGAGGGAUUGUAAGAAACUGUUCCUGAAGAGAAGAACAUGCACCCAAGUUGCAAUGGUUUUCAGAAGUGGUUCUAUCUGUUACCCAUUCCAACCCCAUCGAUUUUUGUCCCAGGCUUCACAUGGUCUGAUUAGUGGAAUGUGUGGUAAGGGUGGAAAUUCCUAAAGGAUAGCUCAACUACAGAAGUAGCAUAUUCCUAUACCUGGAAAGCAUCAUUCUAGCUGAAAAGUCUUGGGAGAAUUGCUAUUUGAAAGGAAAAGAAAGGAAAAAUCUCUCCAUGAAAAAACUGAAUGAGCAACCAGCACCAUGUCUGGGAGCAUCAAGUAUCUGACCAUCUACACCCUGGUUGAGCUGCUAGAGAUCUUCUAUGUGCUCCAAGAGUAUCCUUUCCCCUCCUUUUUUUAAAUUUAGAGAUAGUCUUAUUUUACAUAUCAAUCCCCCCAUUCCCUCUCACUCCUAUCCUCCCAUGCCCCUUACCAACCCCUAUCCCUCUCCAAGGAUGGUGAGGCCUUCCAUGGGAGAUCAUCAAAGUCUGUCACAUCAUUUGGGGGAGGGCCUAGACCCAGCUGCUUGUAUCUGGGCUGAAUUAGUAGCCCUCCAUAGGGAAUGGGCUCCCAAGUAACUUUCAGUGAGUUUCUGAUAUCCCCUGUAGUCCAGGGUGGUACAAUACUGUCUGAUUUUCAGGAUAACUCACCCUGCCUUUGCUCUUACUCAUCUCUGUUUUAGAACCUUUAUCUGCUUUUGUCAAGAAUACUUACAAAGUACCAGAUGCCUUCUUUUUUGCUUUUCCAACAAACCCCACUGUUCCCCAAGAUCGUUUGCAAUCAGUGAAUCUUGUUGAACCGCUAUGCUAAGAGUUAAUCAAUCAAAAGUACAUUUUCUCCUUCUUGGAGAAAAGAAUAUUUAAUUCUGAACUUAAACACAGUGGUCAAGGAAGGAGGUAAAAGGUAAAUCAAACCAGUCUUGCCACUGGUGACCUGUCACAAUAUGAUAAUGGCCUCAAAAUGGUCACAGUAUUAUUGUUUUCUUACAAUAUGAUAAAGGGUACAUUGGAGUGGGUUUUUGUUUCUUUUAGUGUACAUGAGAAAUGAAUGACUAGGAGAGUUUUUUGUGAAGGUUUACUAAACUUUGCAAAGAACACAAAGAAAAUGAAAUCUUCCUUGUGUUAAAUUCAUUUAUCAUAUAAAACUUGGAAUGGUUCUUAUCUGCAUAUUAAAGAGUUUUGUCAUUCUUUUUGUUUCUUUUGUCUGAUUGGCUACUAGAUGAUGUCUUCUAGAAUAAAUGGAAAAAUUUUAAAUUACAGUACUUAAAAAAAUUGCCAGGUACUUUUGUAGCAAAACUGACAAAACAGAGACCAUUAUAUAAGCAGUGGGGGUGUAGGCUACAAGGGCUGAGAGAAAAAUUGUUUCUAUCCACUGCCCUAAAUUUAAACAGACCUACCAGUAUGUGUUUCCUUAGAGAGGGAAGAAUAUAACAUGGUACUGAUGAAUAUUUUCUGGAUUCAAAACAAGGCAGGAUUUUGAUGAAGAGAGAGAAUGCCUGGUCUGCACAUUAUGAGGAAUGGAGAUUUACAUUGUUUACUGUUUGUUGUCUGAGGAAAGGGGAGAUUUGAUGGCUGCUAUUAUUGUGGAAAGGAUGGUGGCCUCCACUCUUUGCUACUCUUUCUUUGACUCACUGUUUUCUCUAAAAUGCACACAUGCAUGUCAAUAGGCAUCUGCUGUAGCCCUCUCACACAAGGAGGAUUCAUGACUAUUAUGACCUGUAUAGUUGUGUCCACAUCAAAAUGCAUACAUUGAAAUAGAAUCUCCAGUAUAAUUGUGUUUAGGGAUGGUACAUAUCAAUGGGAUUUAGUUUAUGAAAAUGGAGAAGUCCUGAACAGGAUCUGUGCCUUCUAAGAAGUCAUAGUGCAAGCUUGGGCUCUUUCUAAAGUAGAUGAGGACUCACUUGUCCAGAACCUUUCCACUCUGCAUCCCGAUUGUGUGUUUGGGUUGCAGUCAUCCAGAAUAAUGUGGAAAACACACACACACACACACACACACACACACACACACACACACACACACACACACGGGGUAGGGGAAGACAGAGAGAGGGAGGGAGAGUUUGUUCUAAUGGUCUUACAACAAUCUAUAACAGCAGGGCAGUUUGGGGGUGUCAACCAUCCAGUGUGUAUUAUGUGCAAAUGUGAUCCAUUCUAACUCACCCAGAGUGAUCCUCAGUAUACCUGGCCCAUGUCAGAACAUCUGAUCACUGCACAAAAAUGAUCAGGAAAUCAUUUCAACAUCUGUGAGCAGUCAUUUGCCCCAUUGCGGGGGUAGUUAGACCCUGAAGGCAAACUUUUUCAGUGACUCAAAGUUGGAAUUCUUGCUUUGACUGUGGCUCCUGCAUUUGUUUUGUUUCUUGAAUAAUUAUGCCCUAGGAAGAAGGGAAGAAAGGGGAGUUAGAGAAUUUGAGGCUUUCUCUGGGAAGAUGGAACUGGAGAAGGAAAGAAUGCCAGUAGUACCUGGAACUGAACACUCCCCACCAAGCCCAGUGCAGCUACUGUGACCAACCAGCUUUCUAGCUGAGGCUCUCUCCAUAGCAGAAGAAGCCUGCUAUGGGAGCAGACACCAUGUAAUCCAGAUGUGGAUCACUACACAAAGGCACCAGAGAAAGUUUUAAGAGCCAGGGAGAGAGAUGCAGACAAAGGAUUGGAAAAUCUUUCAAUAUACUCAGUCUCAGCUCAAGUAUUUCAAAAUGCCAGAUUCUCUACCGGCAUUUACAGUGAAAAUCCAGCAGCAGACCACACUGCCUGACUCUAGAUCCAUGUGGACAUGCUCAGUGUAAUCAAGAAGAGGGUUUGGCAUCUGCAAUCUGACAGCUUUCAUCUUUUGCAGAAGCUGUGUUUGAAAAUCUUGUGAUAUAUGCCCUUUCCUCACAUCUAAACACACAGCAUAGCUUCUCGUCUAUGAAGUGUUUCCAUGUUGGAAUUUCAACAGUCAAGAAGAGAAAUGCCAGGAGAAUUGUUUGUGACAACAAGAUGAUAUGCAAAAUAGUUUUGGAUAUCAGUUCCCUUGGAACGUCUCAAAUGUGAAAGCUUAUUUGUUUGGAAGAGAGGAAUUCUCUUUAGCAGCAAAGAGAGUAACAAAACAGCCAAGGUGGAGUGAACAUGAUUAAAAAGAAAUAGAGUCAGGGAAACAGCAUUAUAUUACAUUUUCCUCUAAAUCUAAGCUACUAUAUCUGUAUAUGAGCAGAGAACAGAAAAGCUGGUAUGCAGAAAGCAGGCGUCCAUCCUAAUAUCCCAACACACUGGAUGUAAGAAAGCACCAGCUACAUGCCAUAAGAUCUAAUUACCACGAAUUGCCUUUCCUGCCCCACAGCAAUCAUUUUGAUGACAGGCUUCUCUGCACUGUAAAACAAAAUGGGAAACCUGUGCUGUAUAAACCACCUCAUGCUUCUUUUCUUCCUCUGCUAUCGGCCUCCCUAUCUCAUUUAUUUUCCACACAUUAAUGGUAGCAGUCACCUUGAGCUGGUGAUGCAGAGUAAUUUUCACAGAAACCUUGAUCAGAAACCAUAAAUCAGUCUGAUGUGCUUUUAUGGUCUAAUAACAUUCCGUUUGCUCCUACAGGUCUGUAUGUAAAACUGCAUUGCAGUGAGUCCUCUGGAUUUUCUUUUUCUUUUUUUGUGUAGCUCAUUCUUGCUCUCAGGCACUUACUCACUCUCCCUCCCUUCAUUCUCCUUCUCCCUCUCAGCCUCUCUAACAUGAUUUCUAGGCACACAUAAGCGCAUACCCAUCAUCAUUGGUAUAGUUCGUGUGUUACAAAACAGCAUUUAACUGCCAUUGUAUACAUGCCAAGGUAGCGGGGAUGCAUACACUUUCAGAAGGGGAAAACGAUGUGUGUUAGAUAACAAUGAAGUAUCUCUGACCGCAGUAGUGAAUGCAUCAGUUGUCCAGGCUGUGCUAUGUCUUGGUCGACUUCAGAAUGAGGUUUGCAUGUGUAUGAUUGUGUUCUGCUGUAUACUGAUUGCCAGAGGCUUGCACUCUUCCCUCAGUCCAGCAGAAAGAGUAUGAUGUGGAGUGGAAUGUAGGCUAGUGGGAUAUCUGGAAGAAGAUCUGUGAUCUCAAGGCAAAGGAGGCAUGAGUUUGAAGUAAAUGCAGUAGGAUAAAGGCAGCAGUGCAAAGGUUGCUAUCUGUUGAAGGUGAGGUCCUGAGCCUGUUAUUCAGUUGCAUCAAUGGCAGGACUGAUAAGCAAGCAUCAGCAUGCCAUCAGGCUACUGUGAAGUAUGUGCAAGUUAGCCAUAGUGAUCACCUACCUUAGCCUGCAGCAUAAUCUGAACAUAUCUGUGUACUUGGCUCAAGGACCAGGAGGAAAAGGCAAACCAGGUAAAAACCAAUCUCCACCAUCUCACCUACUUAUGUGUGUGCUACCUAAAAGUCCUCUGGGUAGGUACAAUGUAAUGGGUAGCCGUUUCCCUUUUAGACAGAAGAAAGAACACUUAUAUCUGUGUUUUCCACAGGAUGGAAACAUCUACAAGUGAAAAAUCAUUCCUGCAUUGCAGUUUGGUGAAUCAGUGCAGGAAAUGAACAAAGACCCUCUGACUCAGGCUGGGAGAGUCAAGCUUUGCUUUGGAAGGGAGGAAAGCUGGCAACAAGCUCUGAUUUUUUUCACUGCUAAUGUAUCGAGUGAUAAUUACUCCCCAGUAGACCUCCAUAAAUUCCAACAUUCUUAACCGGUGCUUCAUGAAUAUACGAAAGGGCUGAAAUGUACCCAGGUGUAUUAAUCAAAAUUUCUAGGACACUCUUCCUUACUUGGUAGUAAGAUACAUCUCCAAUUAUUUAUACCUAUAUCUAUUUUCAUAUCUGCAGGCAUUGCCCUUGUGCAUGUGAGUAGAGUCUUGUAUUGGAUGCUGGCAUAGCAAGCAAUCAUAAGGACAUUCAAAAUGUCAAUGAAAGGAUAACUGUAGAAUGUGGAUGUCAGCUUCAUCUGUAGGGCUCUUUGUUUCCAACUGUAAGUCACAUCAAUCCCCUUGCCUCACAUGCAAUAGUAUUCAAGUUAGGCAGCAGGGCUGUGUUCCUUUUUGUUUAAAUUUAUUUCCUUUAGCAAGAAAAUAUUUUUUCUCCCAUCAUAUCACAGAGUCCUGUCACCAUUGCUGCACCCUGAGUCCUCAGUAACAGUUCAGCACUGAAUUUUCAGAAACUGACAGGCAAUUUCUCCUUUUGCAACAGCUGGGGCUUUUCAGUGCUGCAGUAGCAAAGGCUAAAUGUGAAAAGGAAAUGGGGGUGAACACAAGUCCUUUCUCUCCAGUGUCCACUGCCCUUGGAUUCACAGCCCAGCAUUUGCUGUCUGUGUAGGAACUAUUUCUAAACCCUCAUAGCUGGAGGCAAUGUACACCAGACCAGUGGGGUGGGAGUAAUAAAGGAGAGAUUCAGUAAAGAACAAAUUCUUUUCAGAUUAGCUGAUUGGCAGCUGUGAGUAACUCGGCUCUGGCAGCAAGGCUGGAAAGAGCAGCCUCAACCUUGGUGCUCAUUAUUUAGCUGUAAGCCUUUCCUGCCAGGAACAUUUUUCUCUUUCAAUUCCUAAACUACUUUAACUCCUUAUGAUCCAAUCCUUCAUCAAAAAGAGUGAACUAAAAAGACCUUUAUUGGAACCCCUAGGUUGUAGAUGAGAAUUGACUGCAAGAUACAACUUCCUUUACCAACAAUUCUAAUCAGAGCUGAUAUUAUGUUAGGAAAGUCUGAAUUAACACUAGGUAUAUAAUACUCAUUCUGUGUCAGAUCUGAUAGAUGUCUUGAGGAAAAAAAAGAAGAAAUUAGUAUCAUAUGUAGGUUUUAUAUAUGACUACAUAAAGAAUUUAACCUACUAAGAACAAGAGGGAACAUGAAGUAAUAAUUUACUGAUUCUAAAGGUAUCUCUUCUUGGCAGUCAGGACAAUGCAAUCAACAGAGGUAAUGUUCUUAAAGCCUCCUGAUCUAAACGUAAAAACGUCAUCAGAGCUAACAGGAGGCCACUUUGACUCUGAACUGCUGUAAGAGAAACAUAAGCAAAACUAACCUUUAAAGCCACAGUCUUAUGAUUUAAUCAAAAUAUGUUUAUGUACAUUCAAUUAUGACAUCUAACUGACAGAAAAAGGACUUGUAAAAAUCAUUUGUCUCUCUACGUAUAUCUCUUGGGUGUAUAUUGAUGUAUUUCUACAGAUAUUUAUAAAGAACUUGUUUUUUCCAUGAAGCUCAAAAAUUACAUUAUAAUUUAAAAAUAUUGAUGCCAUUUUUUCUUACUAUAAGAUCAAUAAAUGUUUAAAUAAAGCAUUGAAUAAGGA
Cricetulus griseus (Chinese hamster) is the source of this 9350-nucleotide non-coding RNA. The record is from RefSeq and is a predicted model, not a curated record. NCBI's taxonomy places the organism in Eukaryota, Metazoa, Chordata, Mammalia, Rodentia, Cricetidae.